GAUGAACGCUGGCGGCGUGCCUAAUACAUGCAAGUCGAGCGAACAGACGAGGAGCUUGCUCCUCUGACGUUAGCGGCGGACGGGUGAGUAACACGUGGAUAACCUACCUAUAAGACUGGGAUAACUUCGGGAAACCGGAGCUAAUACCGGAUAAUAUAUUGAACCGCAUGGUUCAAUAGUGAAAGACGGUUUUGCUGUCACUUAUAGAUGGAUCCGCGCCGCAUUAGCUAGUUGGUAAGGUAACGGCUUACCAAGGCAACGAUGCGUAGACGACCUGGGAGGGGGGCGGCCCCCAGGGGAGCUGGAACGGCCCCAAGCGCCCUGGGGGGGGCGCCAGAGGGCAAUGCCCGGCAGGGGGGGAAAACAUGGCGUAACGCGCCGGAGUGAGAUGGAGUGUUGUCGGGCGAGAAAAACUGUUUUUUGGGGAAAAAAAAAAUUUCAACAUACAUGAACAGUACGUGACGGUACCUAAAGAAAAAGCCACGGCAAACUACGUG
RNAcentral lists this ribosomal RNA (497 nucleotides) under uncultured bacterium. RNAcentral describes it as "partial 16S ribosomal RNA". It matches the Rfam family "Bacterial small subunit ribosomal RNA", at positions 28 to 507 of the family's 1533-position model. The record is from RNAcentral.